This 486-nucleotide ribosomal RNA is filed under the name uncultured Oscillospiraceae bacterium. RNAcentral's name for it is "bacterial SSU rRNA". It matches the Rfam family "Bacterial small subunit ribosomal RNA", at positions 8 to 507 of the family's 1533-position model. Lineage: Bacteria; Bacillati; Bacillota; Clostridia; Eubacteriales; Oscillospiraceae. The record is from RNAcentral.
AGAGUUUGAUCCUCGGCUCGAGGACGAGCGCUGGCGGCACGCUUAACACAUGCAAGUCGAACGGACUUGAGAGGGCUUGCUCUCUUAAGUUAGUGGCGGACGGGUGAGUAACACGUGAGCAACCUGCCUUUAAGAGUGGGAUAACGGUCGGAAACGACCGCUAAUACCGCAUAACAUACACGAACCGCAUGGUUUGUGUAUCAAAGAUUUAUCGCUUAAAGAUGGGCUCGCGUCUGAUUAGCUUGUUGGUGAGGUAACGGCUCACCAAGGCGACGAUCAGUAGCCGUACUGAGAGGUAGAACGGCCACAUUGGGACUGAGACACGGCCCAGACUCCUACGGGAGGCAGCAGUGGGGAAUAUUGCACAAUGGGGGAAACUCUGAUGCAGCGAUGCCGCGUGAGGGAAGAAGGUUUUCGGAUUGUAAACCUCUGUCUUAAGGGACGAUAAUGACGGUACCUUAGGAGGAAGCUCCGGCUAACUACGUG